Molecule: long non-coding RNA, 702 nt
Filed under: Mus musculus (house mouse)
Lineage: Eukaryota; Metazoa; Chordata; Mammalia; Rodentia; Muridae
Description: long non-coding RNA chr14:87514490-87515192
Source: RNAcentral
AGAAAGACUGAGUUAAUAGUUUGGUUGUAUGGAAAAUUAAAAUAAAAACUAAUGCUUUAAAUCUAAGUGUUAAUGUUUUUCUCAUGAGGUUUAGGGGUUAAGUUGGUGGCCAAAUAUUUAUUUAUUUCCCUUUCCAAUCUGGAUGUGCCCACCAUUUUAUUUCUAGAACAUAUUCAGGGAUGAUAUUUUAGACACUCAAAAUACAUGUUCUGAUUUUGAAUGGAUACUUCUUUUCUUUGAAAAUGAUUUAUUAAACAUCUUGUUGCUUUAACCUUGAACUUUUGUUUUUAUUACAACUAGAUUUUAUAUGGAUCUUUUUACUCUGUAAGAUGUUGUUGGGUAUUUUUUUUAUUUUCUAUUUUUUUAUUGGAAAUAGAUUUUUUCAUGCAAUCUAUUCUGAUUUCAAUUUCCCCCAACUCCAUUCAGAUCUUUCCCAAUUCCCUUCCUACAAAUCCAUUCCCUCCUUCCCUCCCUUUGUCUCAUUAGAAAAAUGGGCAUCUAAAAAUAAUAAUAAGAUAAAAUAAGUUUUAUUUUAAUAUCUAUCUUGUAAUGAACUUCCUAUUUAUUUCUUGUGAUAUAUAUGUUAUUUAUAGAUCAUUUUUAAGUAUAUAAAUGCUCCAGUUAUUUUCCCCUAUUCUUCUUUCUUUAGGACUCUUAUAGUGUCCCAAAACAAAACAGUAAACAUUCUAAAAUAAAAUAGAU